CCUGAUGUCUUAGACAGUAAAGAAUCUGCCUGCAAUGUGGUAGAUCCAGGUUCAAUCCCUGGGUCAGGA
RNAcentral lists this transfer RNA (69 nucleotides) under Ovis aries (sheep). It matches the Rfam family "tRNA". From Rfam's summary of the family: Transfer RNA (tRNA) molecules are approximately 80 nucleotides in length. Their secondary structure includes four short double-helical elements and three loops (D, anti-codon, and T loops). Further hydrogen bonds mediate the characteristic L-shaped molecular structure. tRNAs have two regions of fundamental functional importance: the anti-codon, which is responsible for specific mRNA codon recognition, and the 3' end, to which the tRNAs corresponding amino acid is attached (by aminoacyl-tRNA synthetases). tRNAs cope with the degeneracy of the genetic code in two manners: having more than one tRNA (with a specific anti-codon) for a particular amino acid; and 'wobble' base-pairing, i.e. permitting non-standard base-pairing at the 3rd anti-codon position. The record is from Rfam by way of RNAcentral. Lineage: Eukaryota; Metazoa; Chordata; Mammalia; Artiodactyla; Bovidae.